This 359-nucleotide ribosomal RNA is filed under the name Pseudomonas sp. RNAcentral's name for it is "bacterial SSU rRNA". It matches the Rfam family "Bacterial small subunit ribosomal RNA", at positions 47 to 391 of the family's 1533-position model. Lineage: Bacteria; Pseudomonadati; Pseudomonadota; Gammaproteobacteria; Pseudomonadales; Pseudomonadaceae. The record is from RNAcentral.
AGGAGGCACCCCCAUACACAUGCAAGUCGAGCGGAUGAAGGGAGCUUGCUCCUGGAUUCAGCGGCGGACGGGUGAGUAAUGCCUAGGAAUCUGCCUGGUAGUGGGGGAUAACGUCCGGAAACGGGCGCUAAUACCGCAUACGUCCUGAGGGAGAAAGUGGGGGAUCUUCGGACCUCACGCUAUCAGAUGAGCCUAGGUCGGAUUAGCUAGUUGGUGGGGUAAAGGCCUACCAAGGCGACGAUCCGUAACUGGUCUGAGAGGAUGAUCAGUCACACUGGAACUGAGACACGGUCCAGACUCCUACGGGAGGCAGCAGUGGGGAAUAUUGGACAUGGGCGAAUCAUGCUCCGGCAUGCGGC